AUGUCCUUUGCCUUCUCCUGAAGGGAGAGAAAUUGAACAGAAACCCCUCAAAUGACAGCACCUAUAGCUGAUGUCCUGUCUGCAACUUCCUGAAACACCCUGAGCCAGAAUCACCCCUAAAGCCACUCCCAGAUUCUUGACCCACAGGAGCUGAAAUAAUACUUAAUUGUCACGUUAAGCUUUUAAGUUUGGCAGAAUUCUGUUAUGAGCAAUAGAAAAUUAAUACAAGAGCCAUCCUGGAUGGAGAGAUUCUUCCUGAGAGUGAGAAAACCUUUCCUAGAAACUUGACAGCUCUUGGCCAGAUUGUGUCAUAUAAUCACAACUAAUCCAAUGUCUGGUUGGGGGUUGGUCCUCAGAGACCAAUCAGGACAUAUACCCUGGGACUGUCCCACCUCAGAACCACUGAACAUGCUGGAGCAAAGACAAGGAAGAGGAUUUCCAAACACUUCCUCCAGACCUCUAAAGCCUCCCACAGUAUAACCCUUUACGUUGACCAUUUAUGCUGUUGCAACUGUAUGCCUAGGUUUUUACCCAUAACAAGCUCUGGCUGCACAGUUAUAUCACAAUCUACUUUCCCUCUGCUUCACCUUUGCACACGCUGGUCCCACCACUUGGUGUGCCUUUCUUCCUGGAGAUGCCAGUUAAAAUCACAUCCUCCUUUAAAAAAUAUAUGUAUAUACAUACCCAGACAUUCUUUUCCUCAUAUCACCCUCCAUUAUGCUUUAUCUCGAGAGAUUGGACACAGUUCCCUAUGUGUACAGUAGAACUCCAUUGCUUAUCCAUGCUAUUGGUAAUAGUUUGUAUCUACUAACCCCAAACUCCCAGUUCAUCCAACUCCCUCCCGCUUGGCAACCACAAGUCUGUUCUCUGACUGUGAGUCUGUUUCUGUUCUGUAGAUAGGUUCAUUUGUGCCAUAUUUUAGAUUCCACGUAUGUGAUGGCAUAUGAUUUAUCUUUCUAUUUGUGAUUUACUUCACUAAGUAUGAUAAUCUCUAAUUGCAUCCAUGUUUCUGCAAAUGGCAUUAUUUCAUUCUUUUUUAUGGCUGAGUAGUAUUCCAUUGUAUCUAUGUGCCUCAUCUUCUUUAUUCAUUCAUCUAUUAAUGGACAUUUAGGUUGUUUCUAUGACUUGGCUAUUGUGAAUAGUGCCUCAGUAAGCAUAGGGGUGCAUACAUAUUUUUAAAUUAUAGUUUUAUUUGGAUAUAGGUCCAGGAGUGGUACUGGGAUUGCUGAAUCAUGUGGUGGUUCUAUAUUUAGUUUUCUGAGGAACAUCCAUACUGUUCUCCAUAGUGGUUAUACAAAUUUACAUUCAUACCAACAGUGUAGUUUCUCCACACCCCAGAGACCUAUAUUCUUAUUUCCAUGUAUUUUAUUUUUCCAGAAAUUGUUUCUGACUUUCAGGGACUUGUUCCUUGUACUGGAUCUUGGGAUUCACUUUACCUUUGAGACUUUGCCUCUAUUCCUUCUCUGACCACCCUUUACCUUUUGUGUUCUCUAUCCCUCAGUGGUGAUAUCUCAAGACUAAAAAAAAUAUGCCCCGGUGAUUAAAAAAUAAUAAUUAUAAUAAUAAUAGUAAUAGUUUGGGUGGUUAAUGACAUGGAUGUCAGGAAGAGUCAAUUACUGUCUGUGCCUGCUUCUUCAAGUAGCAAAUGUGGGCUGUGCUUGGUAGGCCAGACACUAGGGAAGGGCCUGAUCUUUGUCUCCCCACACUCCAUGUCCAGCAGCGGGGGUUCAUUUCAGGUUGUCAAUGUUGGCCAGGGGCCAGGGCUCAGAUCCUUCUUGUGGGGGCAGAGCAAGGUGGGGAGCAGUAAGAGUCCCAGAGUCAGUGAUAUCUAAAUGCUCACUCGUGAGCCGAUGCUGGUCCAUGGUGAAUCCCCUGAACCAUGGAGGAGGGAGGAAAACCAUGGGAAGGUGGCCAGUGUCCUAUCUGUCAGCAGCUGUCCUUCAAAGUGAGAUUUUGCCCCAUCUUUGUGGAAUACACCUCCAUUUCCAAAAGUUAAAUGGUAAGAGAUAAUAGACAUUUUACUGGGCAGAAUAAAAUAUUUUCCACCCAAUUUCCAUUUUUUUCCUUUUAAAUUUUACUUGUCUAUAAACCCCAAAUGUCUGGGGAUUUUUGUCUAAAGUGAUCUAGGUUAGGCAAGAAAUAGGUAUUUUGUGAGAAAAAUAAAAUCCUAUUGGCAGAAUCUAGGGUGGCUACUGAUGAUUAAUCCAAUGUACCUUAUAUUUAUCCUGCUUCCUCCCCACAAUUCGCUUUGCCUGGAUGGUGAGGUUUCUGCCAAGAAACCUCACCAGGAUCUGAAGGCUCCAUUGUUUGCUAAUUGCGGCCCCCAGCCAGGCCCAAAAAUGUUCUUGGGGCAGCUAAAACCAUGGCUGCCUUCCUGUCCCUCAGGGUGGGAGACACAGGCUUGAAGGGCAUAAUCUAAAUUAAGUGUCCCAAGGCAAAUUAAAACAAAUGACACCUAGGGUUUCUGAAAAAGAGGUCUCUAGCUUUCCAGAUGAAUUAUGUUUUCCUUUCAUCUCUUUGGCUUUCGUAGUGGUUGAAGUGGAAAUUCCAAGGGAAAGUGGGGCUAAAAUGGAUGAACUCUUUUUAAAGACUUGAUGACACCACAUGGCAUGGCCAUGUGAUGCCACUGUCUGCUGGACACUGAGCCUCUGGGGUCAGGGGGUCAUCAUAAGAAUCCUGCACCCUCCCCAACAUAGCAUUUCAAUGCUUCCUUGGGCUGCCAUAACAAAGUGCCACCAACUGGGGCCAUAAACCCACAGAUUUGUGUUGUCUCACAGUUCUGGGGGCUAGAAAUCCAAAAUCAGAGUAUUGGUAGGGUCUCCUGCCCCUGUGCCUUUGCCUGGUGUUCUCUGGCUCCUGAGUACCCCAAGCCCAUCUCCACUGCCGUCGUCAUGUGGCCUGCCUUCCUGUGACUGUGUCCCUGAGUCCCCCCUCUUUUUCCUAUAAGAGCACCAGGCAUAUGGAUUAAGGACCCACUCAGUUCUUGUAUGACUUCAUUUUAGCUAAUUACAUUUGCCAAAGCAGGUCACCUUCUCAGGUACUGGAGCUGGGACUCCAUUCAAUACAUCGUUUUGAAAGAUAGAAUUCAAUCCACAAAAAGUGCUCAGUAAUGAAGAUGUGAAUAAAUGACUCUUGGAACCACCAGCAGUUAGGACUCGGCUGUAGGCCUAGCAGAUAGUGAGUGGAGAAGUGUGUUCUUUCUUAGUGCUGAGUGUGCACGCUUGUGUGCAUGUGUAUGUACAUUUCUACAUCACGUAAAUAAUAGCUAAAAUUAUGAGUAGCCUGUACUUCUGAAAGACCCACCAAGUGGAUUGCAAAGUGGUGAUGAUUGAACAUGCAUGCCCUGCAGGCCUUACCCCGCACUAAUGGUCUGGACCCAGCCAAAACCCAGAUUGGAACUUGAACCCACAGGUUUAAAUUAGAAUCACUCAUCUGGUGUCUGGAAUUAAUGAGGUUCAUAUUCUUCAUGCCUCCACACAGAAGGAAUUCAGGAAGAGAAAAGGGAUAGGCAAGAAAUAGAUUUAUUAAGAUAGGAUGCUUAUGAGAGAUACAAGCAAACAGGCAAGGAGGUUCUGCCCCAAGGAUUAGGUGGGCUACAGUUUUAUCAUCCAAGGGGAGUGGGGGUUGGAAAGGACUGCCUCUUCCUCUUUCAGCCAAAGGGCAGUCCUUAAACUCCAGCCCUUGGUCUGAAUCUGAAUGCAGGCCUUAUCCCAACCCCCACCCAGCGACCUGAGGCAAUGCUCACACCUCCUCUGAUCAAGCAAGACUGCCUUGUUCGGAUGGCUUUCUUGUACUUACAGGGAUCUCCUAAAGUCCCCUAGGUUUCUCUUUAUCGAUGGUCCAUUAUUGGGACUUCUACAACUACCUGUGCUACUCCAUCCCUAUCACUAUUUAAAGCCCAGGAAGAAAUUUUACUGAUGAAUUAAAAAAAAAAAAAAAUUCUCCUGUCUUCUGAACAGUUCUGCAUGAGACAGAACACAAGGUCCUAGCAUGAUUGCAGCCUAGACCUUGGAUGGGGCAGCCUAUAGAGAGGCCAAGGAAGUGUGGUGCGGGACACUGCAGGAUGUGAACCUGGGGACCUGGCGUGGGUGGGUAUCACUCUCCUUGUCCUCCCAGAGCCAGGGCCCUGAUAAUCUCCUCAGUUUGCUCUUAGGUUUCUUUCUUCCCUUAACCUUCCUCUUUGUUCUUGCUCACUUCGGUGCCCGGGAGAAGUGCUGGUUGGUGUCUGUUUUUGACUCCAGCUCAAAUAAAAUAGAGAGAAUGGCCCUGCAUAUCAACAAGCUCUAAUUUCCGUGCACGGUGACCCCCACUUCCAGGGGUCCAUUGCUGUCUCUUGCGCUGCCUGGCUCUCCUUGAAACCCCUGGCAGCCUUCUGAGAUUAAAUGCAGAGCUCUUGAAUAAUCUAAGCCCAGCGAGAAGUCACUAUCUCAGCGGCGGGCCGAGUGUUCCAGACUGUCAUCUUAUUAAGAGCAAAGGGAAAUUUUGAUUUAAAGGAAGGCCCUUAAUUUUCCAACAAGGAGUAGAAGUGAUAACAUUUCUUCCACCCCCUGCUGAGUCACCACUUUAUGGAAACUCAGCUUCACCGUGUCCCACUCACUCCUUUGUGCUUGGAUAUUUUGUCAAAAGCUUUCACAAAGAGAUGUUCUUUAACAAGAAAUGCAUUGAAGUUGCUGAAGGGAACAAAUCCGUGUGUUUUUGUGAGUUUGGUAAAAUAAGAGAGAUGUGUUCUCAGCACGCAGUCAUACAUGUUCAGACCUAGCUUGCCUGCCGUCUCUGCACGCCACCCCCGCCCUUCCCCACCCUCCCUCUGCUCCAGUGCAUCACCUUGUGGGGAUCAAAAGGAAUGGCUGUCACUUUCAUGUGACCAAGAGGGCAGGCUGGUUGGAAACACAGGUACAAUUCCAUGUCAAGGAAUACUGCUUAAAUGUAAUGCUCUGUAUAUGGAAAAUCUGCAUCCUGAUGGAUGUCCCAUAAAUAUAAUGCUUUGUGGUUCUGGUUGCAACAUAUUUUAUUUAAUCAAUAAACCUAUACAACACUGUCUGAUAAUAAAUAAUGGCAAUUUUCAUGAUGUUCUGGGCUGUUAGGUUUUUUUUCUUGUUGUUGUACAAGAAAAUUGCAUUUAUCUUUCACUCUUUUUCAGUUCAAACAGCCCACAACUGCUUUAAUUUAGAUCAGUUCAAGUUGCCAUUACUCACUGAUCCUAAACAUCCUAGCAAGAGUAUAAGAGCUAUAGGAACCUGUAAUGAGAGGCUAGGAUAGUAUUGUGAUAAGAUGGGAGUGGAUAUGACUAGAAUGGUCCCUGGGCUCAGAGGGCUGGGACCUCAAUAAACAGUUAGGCUGGUGAGCAAGGAUGGGGGAUGGAGGAUGGGGACUUAGAGUACUGUGGUUCCUACCUAAACCUGCCACAGUCUUUUACUUGGUUUAUUCCCUUGGUUUGCCUGAGCUACCUGGACUCAGAGACUGUAUAUUUCCAUCUUCCUACCCUUGCAUUUAGCAAACUGCCCAGUGUAUAAUGAGUGCUCACCUAAUUUUGUAGAAAAAUCGGUGCGCAAACAAACGAAGGAGAAAGUCAUUCUGGAUUCACAGACUAUCAGCAUAAUUGACUCAGGCAUAAGGUACAAUUCUGGUGGCAAUUUCAUACUUGCACCAGUUUCUCGAGCAUUGCUGUACCCUAGCAAUACAUAGGAGUAAGAAUACCAGUUCUAGCAGUUACAGUUUCUCAGCUUCAGCAUCUUUCUCUGUAAAGUGGGAGCAACCAUGCUAGCUCUUUCCUAGCAUUGGACAUGUUUAGUGAAAUAAUGCAUGUGAAGUAUUUAGCAUAAUGCCCCAGAGAUAGUAGGUGCUAGUCCAAUAAAAUUUAACUGGAAUCAUGAUUAUUAUUGAAGGCUAUGAUGGCAAUGUCUCUAUUCCUACCAUUUAAUCCUACUAAUUUUUUAAAAAAUCUCUGCUAUGUUUAGGGCCCAUCUACCUUCAUGUUUUUGGUUAGAUUCAGGCAGUGUAUAUCAAUGUAAGAUAAUCAUCAAGGUGGUGAGAACAGAAGAGGCAGUUGAGUGUGUGUGAUCCUUUAAAAACCUUAAUGAUGCCUAGAGAGGACUACUAUUUCUUAGGUGCUUACUCUGUGCUGGGCUCUGGGAUAGAGAAAUACUAUGUUAUCCCCUUUAAUUUCUAUAAAAAUAUUUUGAGGUACACAUUAUAAAGCAUUUAAAAUCUUCCAUUAGGGGAGUUCCCGUCAUGGCACAGUGGAAACGAAUCCAACUAGGAACCAUGAGGUUGCAGGUUUGAUCCUUGGCCUUUCUUAGUGGGUUAAGGAUCUGGCAUUGCUAUGAGCUGUGGUGUAGGUUGCAGAAGUGGCUUGGAUCCUGCAUUCCUGUGGCUGUGGUGUGGGCUGACAGCUGCAGCUCUGGUUGAACCCCUAGCCUGGGAACCUCCAUAUGCUGCAAGUGUGGCCCU
RNAcentral lists this long non-coding RNA (6450 nucleotides) under Sus scrofa (pig). RNAcentral describes it as "lncRNA (ENSSSCG00015067466.1)". Lineage: Eukaryota; Metazoa; Chordata; Mammalia; Artiodactyla; Suidae. The record is from RNAcentral.